UACGUAGGGUGCGAGCGUUAAUCGGAAUUACUGGGCGUAAAGCGUGCGCAGGCGGUUAUGUAAGACAGAUGUGAAAUCCCCGGGCUCAAACUGGGAAAUGCAUCAGUGACUGCAUAGCUAGAGUGCGGCAGAGGGGGAUGGAAUUUCGCGUGUAGCAGUGAAAUGCGUAGAUAUGCGGAGGAACACCGAUGGCGAAGGCAAUCCCCUGGGCCUGCACUGACGCUCAUGCACGAAAGCGUGGGGAGCAAACAGG
This 253-nucleotide ribosomal RNA is filed under the name uncultured bacterium. RNAcentral's name for it is "partial 16S ribosomal RNA". It matches the Rfam family "Bacterial small subunit ribosomal RNA", at positions 524 to 776 of the family's 1533-position model. The record is from RNAcentral.